GAGGAAAGCUGGAGGCGUGCCUAAUACAUGCAAGUCGAGCGAACAGACGAGGAGCUUGCUCCUCUGACGUUAGCGGCGGACGGGUGAGUAACACGUGGAUAACCUACCUAUAAGACUGGGAUAACUUCGGGAAACCGGAGCUAAUACCGGAUAAUAUAUUGAACCGCAUGGUUCAAUAGUGAAAGACGGUUUUGCUGUCACUUAUAGAUGGAUCCGCGCCGCAUUAGCUAGUUGGUAAGGUAACGGCUUACCAAGGCAACGAUGCGUAGCCGACCUGAGAGGGUGAUCGGCCACACUGGAACUGAGACACGGUCCAGACUCCUACGGGAGGCAGCAGUAGGGAAUCUUCCGCAAUGGGCGAAAGCUUGACGGAGCAACGCCGCGUGAGUGAUGAAGGUCUUCGGAUCGUAAAACUCUGUUAUUAGGGAAGAACAAAUGUGUAAGUAACUAUGCACGUCUUGACGGUACCUAAUCAGAAAGCCACGGCUAACUACGUG
This 497-nucleotide ribosomal RNA is filed under the name uncultured bacterium. RNAcentral's name for it is "partial 16S ribosomal RNA". It matches the Rfam family "Bacterial small subunit ribosomal RNA", at positions 28 to 507 of the family's 1533-position model. The record is from RNAcentral.